Non-coding RNA from Drosophila suzukii, 349 nucleotides. Lineage: Eukaryota; Metazoa; Arthropoda; Insecta; Diptera; Drosophilidae. The record is from RefSeq and is a predicted model, not a curated record.
GGAAACUAAAAAUUAAAAAUGGAAGGAAAACACACAAAAUCGGAAGCAGGAGGAAGAAAUUCCGCAAAAGGGGCAAAUUCGCAGAACAGUUGAAGAGAUGGAGGAGAUCCACUAGAGAAACCCAGUGGGAAGCAACAUGCCGAGUGGAACUUCGAUCUCUAUAUGGACAUCCUGCCGGGCGCGUCCUCGCAAAGAAACAGAACCACCAGUAAUACGAUCUCCGACGACCUCUCCAUUAGGACUACGGACACCACCAUCACCAGCUACAUGGCAGCUUAAGCGGAGCUGGGGGACCCGCUGGCUUCUAUAGGGAGGAGGACAAUAGGGCUCCCGCUAAGGAACAGUUGGA